AAACAUGUCUUUUUGAAUUUAAUUUAAAGUCUGACCUGCCCACUGAAUUUAGUUUAAAUGGCCGCAGUAUUUUGACUGUGCAAAGGUAGCAUAAUCAUUAGUCUUUUAAUUGAAGGCUGGUAUGAAUGGUUGGACGAGGUAUAAACUGUUUCAUAUAAAUUUAUUAUAGAAUUUUAUAUUUUAGUUAAAAAGCUAAAAUUUUAUUAAAAGACGAGAAGACCCUAUAAAUCUUUAUAUUUUUUAUUGUUUAAAUUUUUUGGAUUUUAUUUUAUUUUUAUAGUAUAAAAUAUUUUGUUGGGGUGAUGUUAAAAUUUAAUGAACUUUUAAUAAUUUAAAAUCAUUAAUUUAUGAAUUAUUGAUCCAUUAAUACUGAUUAUAAGAUUAAGUUACUUUAGGGAUAACAGCGUAAUUUUUUUUGAGAGUUCAUAUCGACAAGAAAGUUUGCGACCUCGAUGUUGGAUUAAGGUAUAGUCUUGGGUGUAGCUGUUCAAGAAUUAAGUCUGUUCGACUUUUAAAUCCUUACAUGAUC
RNAcentral lists this ribosomal RNA (529 nucleotides) under Anastrepha fenestrella. RNAcentral describes it as "partial small subunit ribosomal RNA". The stretch from base 397 to 529 matches the Rfam family "Bacterial large subunit ribosomal RNA", at positions 2473 to 2605 of the family's 2925-position model. The record is from RNAcentral. Lineage: Eukaryota; Metazoa; Arthropoda; Insecta; Diptera; Tephritidae.